AGGGCAAUACCAGUGGUGGAUUGAGCCAAGGUUUCUUUAGUGUAGCGGUGGUAUCACGUUCGCCUACCAUAGAAAAGGUCCAUAGUUUGAAACUGGGCGGAAACACUGUCCAUUUGACCUGCUUUCUCUGCAGCGGGGAAUCUUCUUGCAACUGGUCAAUAAAAAGACAGCUCUUCCAGCCUGCCCAAAGGCCACUGAUGAAGCCAACCGAUUGGCAUCAUCUGAGAGAUGUCCUCCUGCAUGCAUUCGUUUGAUUCAGCACUUCUUUGACAACAUUGUCACACUUUUGCUAAGUGACAGAAGUGUGACAAUCUGGACUCAUGCUUUUAGCAACAGUCUGUUCAGGACCUGUAGUUUCAGUAGUAAAAUAGUGUUAAUCAGCAUGAGUUGUGUUGCAUAGGACAGGAGAAGCCAAGGAGAGUGAAAAGUUUGUAGUUGCCUUUUGAAAAGAAGCUCCCCGUCAGGGAAUCGAACCCUGGUCUUCUGCGUGACAAGCAGAGAUACUGUCCACUAUACUAACGAGGAGUGUAUUGGAAAAUUGUCUGGCAGCCUCAACUUCGGUCUUAAGAGGAAGUAUGCACUUGAACUGCGUCCAUUUGGGCGGAUACUCACUCCAGGCCGAGUUUGUUCUAUCCUCCACUCCCUGGCUGAAAACCACAACCUCCUACAUGCAGGUGCUGAUUUAGACUGUUCCAUAGUGAUGAUGGUCAAUGCCUGAUGAAUCUGUUAGUUCAAGACCUUCUCCAAAGUACUUCUGCAAAGACAAAAGAGCAAUACCAGUUGUGGAUUGAGCAAACGUUUCUUUAGUGUAGCGGUGGUAUCACGUUCGCCUAACAUAGGAAAGGUCCCCAGUUUGAAACUGGGCGGAAACACUGUCCAUUUGUCCUGCCUUCUCUGCAGCGGUGGAUCUUCUUGCAACUGGUCAAUAAAAGGACAGCUCUUCCAGGCUGCGCAUAAGGCCACUAAUGAAGCCAACCGAUUGGCAUCAUCUGAGAGAUGUCCUCCUGCAUGCAUUCGUUUGAUUCAGCACUUCUUUGACAACAUUGUCACACUUUUGCUAAGUGACAGAAGUGUGACAAUCUGGAGUCAUGCUUUUAGCAACAGUCUGUUCAGGACCUGUAGUUUCAGUAGUAAAAUAGUGUUAAUCAGCAUGAGUUGUGUUGCAUAGGACAGGAGAAGCCAAGGAGAGUGAACAGUUUGUAGUUGCCUUUUGAAAAGAAGCUCCCCGUCAGGGAAUCGAACCCUGGUCUUCUGCGUGACAAGCAGAGAUACUGUCCACUAUACUAACGAGGAGUGCAUCUGAAAAUUGUCUGGCAGCCUCAACUUCGGUCUUAAGAGGAAGUAUGCACUUGAACUGUGUCCAUUUGGGCGGAUACUCACUCCAGGCCGAGUUUGUUCUAUCCUCCACUCCCUGGCUGAAAACCACGACCUCAUACAUGCAGGUGCUUAUUUAGACUGUUCCAUAGUGAUGAUGGUCAAUGCCUGAUGAAUUUGUUAGUUCAAGACCUUCUCCAAAGUACUUCUGCAAAGACAAAAGAGCAAUACCAGUGGUGGAUUGAGCAAACGUUUCUUUAGUGUAGCGGUGGUAUCACGUUCGCCUAACAUAGGAAAGGUCCAUAGUUUGAAACUGGGCGGAAACACUGUCCAUUUGACCUGCUUUCUCUGCAGCGGGGAAUCUUCUUGCAACUGGUCAAUAAAAAGACAGCUCUUCCAGGCUGCGCAUAAGGCCACUAAUGAAGCCAACCGAUUGGCAUCAUCUGAGAGAUGUCCUCCUGCAUGCAUUCGUUUGAUUCAGCACUUCUUUGACAAUAUUGUCACACUUUUGCUAAGUGACAGAAGUGUGACUAUCUGGAGUCAUGCUUUUAGCAACAGUCUGUUCAGGACCUGUAGUUUCAGUAGUAAAAUAGUGUUAAUCAGCAUGAGUUGUGUUGCAUAGGACAGGAGAAGCCAAGGAGAGUGAACAGUUUGUAGUUGCCUUUUGAAAAGAAGCUCCCCGUCAGGGAAUUGAACCCUGGUCUUCUGCGUGACAAGCAGAGAUACUGUCCACUAUACUAACGAGGAGUGCAUCUGAAAAUUGUCUGGCAGCCUCAACUUCGGUCUUAAGAGGAAGUAUGGACUUGAACUGUGUCCAUUUGGGCGGAUACUCACUCCAGGCCGAGUUUGUUCUAUCCUCCACUCCCUGGCUGAAAACCACGACCUCAUACAUGCAGGUGCUUAUUUAGACUGUUCCAUAGUGACGAUGGUCAAUGCCUGAUGAAUCUGUUAGUUCAAGACCUUCUCCAAAGUACUUCUGCAAAGACAAAAGGGCAAUACCAGUGGUGGAUUGAGCCGAGGUUUCUUUAGUGUAGCGGUGGUAUCACGUUCGCCUAACAUAGGAAAGGUCCCCAGUUUGAAACUGGGCGGAAACACUGUCCAUUUGUCCUGCCUUCUCUGCAGCGGUGGAUCUUCUUGCAACUGGUCAAUAAAAAAACAGCUCUUCCAGGCUGUGCAUAAGGCCACUGAUGAAGCCAACCGAUUGGCAUCAUCUGAGAGAUGUCCUCCUCCAUGCAUUCGUUUGAUUCAGCACUUCUUUGACAACAUUGUCACAGUUUCGCUAAGUGACAGAAGUGUGACAAUCUGGAGUCAUGCUUUUAGCAACAGUCUGUUCAGGACCUGUAGUUUCAGUAGUAAAAUAGUGUUAAUCAGCAUGAGUUGUGUUGCAUAGGAC
Long non-coding RNA from Gasterosteus aculeatus aculeatus (three-spined stickleback), 2707 nucleotides. Lineage: Eukaryota; Metazoa; Chordata; Actinopteri; Perciformes; Gasterosteidae. The record is from Ensembl.